This is a long non-coding RNA of Mauremys mutica (yellowpond turtle), 602 nucleotides long. RefSeq lists it as uncharacterized. NCBI's taxonomy places the organism in Eukaryota, Metazoa, Chordata, Testudines, Geoemydidae. The transcript is spliced from 4 exons. The record is from RefSeq and is a predicted model, not a curated record.
CCUCAGUCCUAAACGGUGCACCCAGUACGAGCGGUUUUGAAAAUUCAUAAGUUCUUUGCUUAAAAAAAAAAAGCCCAUGACAAAGCAUUAUGAGGUUGCAGUGAGUCUGAGUUUCAGGGCCUGGACUAAGGUUAAUUAUUCUCUCGGGGCCUGAUUAUGCCACCUUUACUCAUGCUGAAUACUUGGUCACGUGCACAAUCCAUUCCAGUGAGUAAUGGGCCUAUCGUCUGUGAUGCACUGUGUUGUUCAAAGGAUGCAGAAUAUGAAACAGAUGGCUCAGGAAGCCCAGCAGAAAGACCUGCUGGGCCCUUUCUGAUGUCACCUUAAAGCCAGAAAGGAUGGGUGCCUAAAAGCGAGGUGCCACAGUUCUGAGUAUCGCAACACCCUAGUCCUUUUGUGGAUUUGGGCCUUAUAGUUUUAAGGAUAAGUUUGGGGAGGAAGAAUGGUCUUGUGGUUAAAGCACAGGACAGAAAAUCAGAAGAUCUGGUAACUGUUCCUGUGUCAGACACCUUGAGCCAAUCAUCUACCUUCUCUAUAACUCAAGUUUUCUCAUCUGUAAAAAAGGAAUCAUUUCACUAUAACUCAGGCAAAUUAUUAGACUU